Molecule: transfer RNA, 77 nt
Filed under: Beijerinckiaceae bacterium
Lineage: Bacteria; Pseudomonadati; Pseudomonadota; Alphaproteobacteria; Hyphomicrobiales; Beijerinckiaceae
Description: tRNA-Ile
Rfam family: tRNA
About the family: Transfer RNA (tRNA) molecules are approximately 80 nucleotides in length. Their secondary structure includes four short double-helical elements and three loops (D, anti-codon, and T loops).
Source: RNAcentral
UGGAGAGUAGCUCAGCUGGUUAGAGCGAUCGGUCGAUAACCGAUAGGUCCCUGGUUCGAUCCCAGGCUUUCCAACCA